RNAcentral lists this ribosomal RNA (492 nucleotides) under uncultured bacterium. RNAcentral describes it as "partial 16S ribosomal RNA". It matches the Rfam family "Bacterial small subunit ribosomal RNA", at positions 29 to 507 of the family's 1533-position model. The record is from RNAcentral.
AGUGAACGCUGGCGGUAGGCCUAACACAUGCAAGUCGAACGGCAGCACAGUAAGAGCUUGCUCUUACGGGUGGCGAGUGGCGGACGGGUGAGGAAUACAUCGGAAUCUACUUUUUCGUGGGGGAUAACGUAGGGAAACUUACGCUAAUACCGCAUACGACCUACGGGUGAAAGCAGGGGAUCUUCGGACCUUGCGCGAUUGAAUGAGCCGAUGUCGGAUUAGCUAGUUGGCGGGGUAAAGGCCCACCAAGGCGACGAUCCGUGGCUGGUCUGAGAGGACGAUCAGCCACACUGGAACUGAGACACGGUCCAGACUCCUACGGGAGGCAGCAGUGGGGAAUAUUGGACAAUGGGCGCAAGCCUGAUCCAGCCAUACCGCGUGGGUGAAGAAGGCCUUCGGGUUGUAAAGCCCUUUUGUUGGGAAAGAAAAGCAGCAGGUUAAUACCCCGCUGUUCUGACGGUACCCAAAGAAUAAGCACCGGCUAACUUCGUG